GUAAUUUUCUAUUACGUUAAAAUAUAGAUAAUUCAUAAUUUAUAACAUAUAAAAAGACGAACUUUAUUUAUAACAAUAGUUUUGACGUACAAUAAAGUCACGGCAGUGAUUUACAUAAAGUGGUUCAUCCUCGUCUGGAUGACCAAGUGUACGCAAUACCGAUGUAUUAUAAAAGUAUUGCCAUUGAUGUGUCAGAAUGCUGCAUAAUAAAGCUAUUUGUUAUUACUUCCUGUA
This is a long non-coding RNA of Vespula vulgaris, 234 nucleotides long. RefSeq lists it as uncharacterized. Lineage: Eukaryota; Metazoa; Arthropoda; Insecta; Hymenoptera; Vespidae. The record is from RefSeq and is a predicted model, not a curated record. The transcript is spliced from 2 exons.